ACCCACUUUACUGCCAUUCAAAUUUCAUCAUCUUCAGUACCAGUAAUAGAAAAAUUAAAUAAAAUUGAAAAAGGUAUAAAGCAAGUUCUUCCAUUUGCAAAUUCCUCUUCAUCCUAACCAUGCAAAUGCAAAUCCAUCUUCCUAUCGCAACACCAACAAUGACAUUAAAUUUUUUCUUUUUUGAGAAUCAAGAAAUUUGCAGUAACAACAUCGUUGUUCCAUUUAUUAGAAGCGGGUUGUCCACUGUCGUACUGUACUAACCUGGUUCUCUCAACCCCAUUUGUCACGUGAGUUUUGUGCGAGGCGGGGCGUGACACAUUUGCAAUGCCAAAAUUGAAGGAGAGAAGAAGACUUCGGUACUGGUGACGGAAAGGAAAGACAGCUCUUUUCUAAUUUGUAAUGACAAUCAUCAGCAUCACUCGAAUAGAUAAGACUGUUUUUUUCUAAUUUGGAAUGACAAUCAUUAGCAUCACUCGAAU
RNAcentral lists this long non-coding RNA (479 nucleotides) under Ricinus communis (castor bean). RNAcentral's name for it is "long non-coding RNA (RCOM_LNC002880)". Lineage: Eukaryota; Viridiplantae; Streptophyta; Magnoliopsida; Malpighiales; Euphorbiaceae. The record is from RNAcentral.